UGGGGAAUAUUGGACAAUGGGGGAGACCCUGAUCCAGCCAUGCCGCGUGAGUGAUGAAGGCCUUAGGGUUGUAAAGCUCUUUCGCUAGGGAAGAUAAUGACGGUACCUAGUAAAGAAGCCCCGGCUAACUUCGUGCCAGCAGCCGCGGUAAUACGAAGGGGGCUAGCGUUGUUCGGAAUUACUGGGCGUAAAGCGCGCGUAGGCGGGCUGUUAAGUUGGGGGUGAAAUCCCGGGGCUCAACCUCGGAUUUGCCUCCAAAACUGGCAGUCUAGAGUCCGAGAGAGGUGAGUGGAACUCCGAGUGUAGAGGUGAAAUUCGUAGAUAUUGGGUGGAACACCAGUGGCGAAAGCGGCUCUCUGGUCCGGAUCUGACGCUGAGGCGCGAAAGCGUGGGGAGCAAACAGGAUUAGAUACCCGUGUAGUCC
Molecule: ribosomal RNA, 424 nt
Filed under: uncultured prokaryote
Description: bacterial SSU rRNA
Rfam family: Bacterial small subunit ribosomal RNA
Source: RNAcentral